AUACGUAGGGGGCGAGCGUUGUCCGGAAUUAUUGGGCGUAAAGGGUUCGCAGGCGGUCUGAUAAGUCAGAUGUGAAAGGCAAUGGCUCAACCAUUGUAAGCAUUUGAAACUGUCAGACUUGAGUUAAGGAGAGGAAAGUGGAAUUCCUAGUGUAGCGGUGAAAUGCGUAGAUAUUAGGAGGAAUACCAGUGGCGAAGGCGAUUUUCUGGACUUAUACUGACGCUGAGGAACGAAAGCGUGGGGAGCAAACAGGAUUAGAUACCCUGGUAGUCCACGCCGUAAACGAUGAGUGCUAGGUGUUGGGGGUCAAACCCCGGUGCCGCAGCUAACGCAUUAAGCACUCCGCCUGGGGAGUACGUACGCAAGUAUGAAACUCAAAUGAAUUGACGGGG
Molecule: ribosomal RNA, 392 nt
Filed under: uncultured bacterium
Lineage: Bacteria
Description: partial 16S ribosomal RNA
Rfam family: Bacterial small subunit ribosomal RNA
Source: RNAcentral